CCUACGGGAGGCUGCAGUGGGGAAUAUUGGACAAUGGGCGAAAGCCUGAUCCAGCCAUGCCGCGUGUGUGAAGAAGGCCUUCGGGUUGUAAAGCACUUUCAGUGGGGAAGAAAGCCUUGGGGCUAAUACCCUCGAGGAAGGACAUCACCCACAGAAGAAGCACCGGCUAACUCCGUGCCAGCAGCCGCGGUAAUACGGAGGGUGCGAGCGUUAAUCGGAAUUACUGGGCGUAAAGCGCGCGUAGGCGGUCUGAUAAGCCGGUUGUGAAAGCCCCGGGCUCAACCUGGGAACGGCAUCCGGAACUGUCAGGCUAGAGUGAAGGAGAGGAAGGUAGAAUUCCCGGUGUAGCGGUGAAAUGCGUAGAGAUCGGGAGGAAUACCAGUGGCGAAGGCGGCCUUCUGGACUGACACUGACGCUGAGGUGCGAAAGCGUGGGUAGCAAACAGGAUUAGAUACCCGAGUAGUC
This 465-nucleotide ribosomal RNA is filed under the name Vreelandella stevensii. RNAcentral describes it as "partial 16S ribosomal RNA". It matches the Rfam family "Bacterial small subunit ribosomal RNA", at positions 338 to 795 of the family's 1533-position model. Lineage: Bacteria; Pseudomonadati; Pseudomonadota; Gammaproteobacteria; Oceanospirillales; Halomonadaceae. The record is from RNAcentral.